Molecule: ribosomal RNA, 540 nt
Filed under: Triticum aestivum (bread wheat)
Lineage: Eukaryota; Viridiplantae; Streptophyta; Magnoliopsida; Poales; Poaceae
Description: partial small subunit ribosomal RNA
Source: RNAcentral
AUGGUAGGAGUGGACAGAAGCGAUUACUUCCAACACCUUGUUGAUAGAGUUUGCCAAAGGUUGAAGGGAUGGAAGGAAAAGAUACUAUCAGUACAAGGCAAAGAAAUUUUGGUGAAAUCGGUGGCACAAGCAAUCCCUUCUUAUGCCAUGUCGGUCUUCAAAUUACCCAAGGGGGUUUGCAAGUCAAUAACAGAUGAAAUCGCAGGUUUUUGGUGGGGAGAUGGAGAGGAGAAAAAUAAAAUGCACUGGUUUGCAUGGUGGAAAUUAUGUGUCCCAAAGAAGAAGGGUGGCAUGGGGUUUAGGGACCUUCACAGCUUUAAUCUUGCUAUGUUAGCAAAGCAGUGUUGGCGACUUCUCCAAAAUCCUGAUUCUUUAUGUGCACGUGUUCUGAGUGCCAAGUAUUAUCCAAAUGUUGAUAUUCUGAAGGCAGGGCCUAAAAAGGGUUCAUCAUUCACUUGGCAAAGCAUUGUUGCAGGUAUACAGACUUUCAAGCGAGGGUGUAUUUGGCAUAUAGGGUCUGGCUCACAUAUUAACAUAUAG